UACGUAGGGUGCGAGCGUUGUCCGGAAUUACUGGGCGUAAAGAGCUCGUAGGUGGUUUGUCGCGUUGUUCGUGAAAACCUGAGGCUUAACCUUGGGCGUGCGGGCGAUACGGGCAGACUGGAGUACUGCAGGGGAGACUGGAAUUCCUGGUGUAGCGGUGGAAUGCGCAGAUAUCAGGAGGAACACCGGUGGCGAAGACGGGUCUCUGGGCAGUAACUGACGCUGAGGAGCGAAAGCGUGGGGAGCGAACAGG
RNAcentral lists this ribosomal RNA (253 nucleotides) under uncultured bacterium. Its description in RNAcentral is "partial 16S ribosomal RNA". It matches the Rfam family "Bacterial small subunit ribosomal RNA", at positions 524 to 776 of the family's 1533-position model. The record is from RNAcentral.